This 282-nucleotide ribosomal RNA is filed under the name uncultured bacterium. Its description in RNAcentral is "partial 16S ribosomal RNA". It matches the Rfam family "Bacterial small subunit ribosomal RNA", at positions 335 to 618 of the family's 1533-position model. The record is from RNAcentral.
UUUCCUACGGGGGGCAGCAGUGGGGAAUAUUGCACAAUGGGGGGAACCCUGAUGCAGCGACGCCGCGUGGGUGAAGGAGCACCUCGGUGCGUAAAGCCCUAUCGGCAGGGAAGAAAAGCGAACAGGUUCGCCUGGACGGUACCUGACUAAGAAGCCCCGGCUAACUACGUGCCAGCAGCCGCGGUAAUACGUAGGGGGCAAGCGUUAUCCGGAUUCAUUGGGUUUAAAGGGUUCGUAGGUUGUUUUAUAAGUUAGCGGUGAAAUACCGAUGCUCAACAUCGG